RNAcentral lists this small nucleolar RNA (63 nucleotides) under Euglena gracilis. Its description in RNAcentral is "Eg-p22.1 AGAUGN box pseudouridylation-guide". Lineage: Eukaryota; Euglenozoa; Euglenophyceae; Euglenales; Euglenaceae. The record is from RNAcentral.
AUCGAGGUACUAGCCCAGGGCAUGCGAUCUUUCUGCAUAUCCCUUCUCAAUGUCCUCGUAGAU